This is a long non-coding RNA of Symphalangus syndactylus (siamang), 1098 nucleotides long. RefSeq lists it as uncharacterized. The record is from RefSeq and is a predicted model, not a curated record. Lineage: Eukaryota; Metazoa; Chordata; Mammalia; Primates; Hylobatidae.
CGGUCGUAUCGGGGAUGCUGGAACCUGCGGUUGUGUGCGAAACUGGCGCGACCCCCUGCGUCUUGGUCUCGGGCUGGUGGCCAGCGGGGUCUGGGCUGUGGUUUUACUCAGCUCCUUUGCUGAGCUGCUGUCCUUUCCUCAACAUUCCCACUCGGCUGGGCAGCCUACCCUCGAGCCUCGCUCUGUCGCCCAGACUGGAAUGCAGUGGCGCGAUCUUGGCUGACUACAACCUCCGCCUCCUGGGUUCAGCGAUUCUCCUGCCUCAGCUUCCUGAGUAGCUGGGAUUACGGGCGCCCGCCACCACGCCCAGCUAAUUUUUGGUAGAGACGGGGUUUCGCCUUGCUGGCCAGGCUGGUCUUAAGUUUUGCAUCCUGGGUCCCUCCUCUUACCAAGUCCCAGCCUUUUGUCUACAGGACAAAGCAACUUUCUGCAGUUUUCUGUUUGCUCUUUAGAGAGACUGGGCCCUAAUUUGGCAAGGUGGUAGGGGAGGCAGGGCUGGUGUUUAAGGUCGACCAAAGCAACAUCUAAAUCUCUGCUCUUCCCCCAAAUUGUCCAAAUUAGCAGCAACAGGUGUGCACCUUCCAAGCUUGCAACAGACCACAUUCAGAAGCUUCUUGAUUUCCUGGUGUUCUGGCAAUAUCAGGAUCAGAGGUAACAUGGUUCAGUAGGACUCCUCAGCUUCACCCAGUGUCCAUUUCACCUCCCCAGGCCUUCCAAUGUCUCUUCUUCCAGAUUUCUCCAAGCCACUCUCCCCUUCGUCUCCUCCACUCCCCAAGGCCCCAACUCCUGCCCCUCCCACCCCAGCCCCUGUUCUCCCUGCCCACCCCCUACCCCACUGGAGUGGCCUUUCAUCAAACCCAAACCAAAGAAACCAACAGACCUUGCUGUCACCACUACUGUGGAACCUGGAAGUUGAAGCGAGGGAGAGACGGUGAAACACAGCAGAACGCCUUCUGUUCUUUCACACAAGGUUUGUGGAUGUGGCCACUAUUAAGAACUCGCACUGCAUGAUUACACUCAGCACAAUUAAUUUCUUAAACUUUUUAAAAUAAUUUAAAAUUUAGAAAAAGUUGUAAAAAUAAAAACCAGUAAACUCUU